CCAACCCUUUUUAAUUAUUGGGUAUGGUCUAUUAAAUAAAGAAGGAACCUUUCUAAUUUACUGAAUUCCAUAUGAAAUAUAUUAAAUAUAGUGUGUUAAUAGUAAUGUCUCUCACUCUCAUGAUAAAAUCAAUUAUACUUCCUUCUUUGAAUACCUUAACCAUAGACAUAUAUAGAACCAUAGAUUUGUCAUCAAAGGCCACACAUAGAGUUAAAGAGAGAAGAGAUAUGAGUUUGGUGGUAGAGUUAGGUAUUGCACUAAUAGGUUUAUGGGGAAUGGGUGUGAGGCCAAUGUUGUUCCAAUGUGUCAUAGAGAUGGGAGAAGCAUUGAAAUGUGCCUUUUACAGGAUUAUAAUAAGAGGAAGACCUUCUUUGCUUCAAUAUAACUAUCCUCCAUCUUCCAUUUAUGCCUAUGGAAGAUGAUUGAAGAGGGUCCUAAUGAUUUAUCCUUACAUAAAGUAUGUGUACUUUAUUUCUUAUGCUUUUAAUUUGUCACAAUUGUAGCUUGAAGUUCCCACUACUUUAUGUGACAGAUGUAAGUGUAUUCUCCAUGUACUAGAGAGAACUUCUGUUUUCACUUUUAGUUUUCAGAUUAAAAGUGUUAUUUCACUGUAAGUAAAUAAAAUGAUACAAAUCUUAUUGCAUUUUCUUUUUUCUUUAGUUUUUUACAGCAUUUCUUUUUCUAGUACUAGAAAAGAUUCCGCCUUUAAGUAUGAAUUAUUUUAAAAGAGAUUAAUCAACUCAUAUAUGCUUUGAAUGCCUAGAUGUAACCUCACAUGUUAUGUAGGAAGCUAAAAAUCUUCGAGAAUUAUGCUUAUAAUUCACUUAGAAGUUGGUAUUAAACUUUACUCAUAAAUUCAUACUUUUGUACCAUUGUGUAUCAAUAUUUGGCUGCUUUUACCUAUAUAAUAACUUACAAUUGAGCUAGUGAAUUUAUACUGAGUUUUCACUUGAUUACUUGUUUGUUUAAAAUACAAUGAUGGCAAUUCUGGGGUCAUAGUACUUAAGCUUAUAAACCACUUUCUCAUUACAAACUUUCUCAUUAACCACUGAUGUGGAAUUUGUAGAUUUUCAAAAAAUAAAGUCAAAGUUGUGCUUAAUUUUUUUUGUACUACUAAUGGUAUCUCUUUAUUUUUUGGGUAAGAAACUAAUCUUUUUCAGGAUUUAUGACUGUCUCUCCCAACAAGUGUCACUCCCAGGAAUCGAACCUUCAACCUUGGGAAUCAAAUGAAGUUUUACACUACUAGAUCAACGCCUUAUUAGUAGGUGUGCUUAAUUAAUACUUAGCAUUAUUCAUGAGAAAUCGCUCAUGAGUAAUUUCCAUGCCAAGAAUAUGUGCCUUGGUGAUAACUUAAAUUCUUUUGAACCUGUCAAGAAGAAUACAAGUAAACCAAUCAAUAACUUGUCAAUAUAAAGCAAUAAAUUGUGCCUAAUUCUAAAUCAGACCUUUUGGGUCCUUUUGCUCAACCGGGACUAGUGGUGUUCAUAAUUCGAUUAGGACUUCAAAUCACUUAUAAACUAGACCGAAUGACUGCCUGCUUGGAAAGAGUAAGUGUGGUUGCGAUUAUAAUUACGGUAACAUUGUAUCUAUCGAAAUUAUGAAAAAUAAAAUGUGAACAAAACACAACAAUACAUACUAACGAUUUUUAAAUUAACAUGUCAUAUUUUAAUCAUCUCGAAACAACAGGGUUUGAGACCCGAGAUUGGAAUUAACCCAUUCACAAAGCCAAUCCUACCACUGCAGCUGUUACUUUCACCAACGUUCCUAUCAUUCCAUGUGAUGAACUUACUGAAUCAGGCAACUAUGUCACCUGAGUAGACCUUGUCCAGAUUUGGUUCAUCAAGCAACUCAUGGAUGUAGCCACAAAAGAAGCAAUCUCCUUGAAAACAAAUUGAUGCCUCCUUAUGUGCCAUGUUUUAUGUGGUACUCUCUCUUGGUGCCAAAUUGCAUGUAUAGUAUGGUGCCUUCCAAACAUGUUAUGAGGUUUGGCUCUCAUGUCCUCUUGUUACUCUUAUAAAGAAUGACCCAGAAUUUUACCUAUAGCAGAA
Molecule: long non-coding RNA, 2048 nt
Filed under: Lupinus angustifolius (narrow-leaved blue lupine)
Lineage: Eukaryota; Viridiplantae; Streptophyta; Magnoliopsida; Fabales; Fabaceae
Description: long non-coding RNA (LANG_LNC001506)
Source: RNAcentral